This 393-nucleotide ribosomal RNA is filed under the name marine sediment bacterium BB0608_AND_6.1_7S0. Its description in RNAcentral is "bacterial SSU rRNA". It matches the Rfam family "Bacterial small subunit ribosomal RNA", at positions 115 to 506 of the family's 1533-position model. The record is from RNAcentral.
GCGUAUACAACCUACCUUUUGGAGGGGAAUAGCCCAGGGAAACUUGGAUUAAUGCCCCAUAGUAUAACAUUCUCACCUGAGAUUGUUAUUAAACAUUUAUGGCCAUUAGAUGGGUAUGCGUCCUAUUAGCUAGAUGGUAAGGUAACGGCUUACCAUGGCUACGAUAGGUAGGGGUCCUGAGAGGGAGAUCCCCCACACUGGUACUGAGACACGGACCAGACUCCUACGGGAGGCAGCAGUGAGGAAUAUUGGACAAUGGGCGAGAGCCUGAUCCAGCCAUGCCGCGUGCAGGAAGACUGCCCUAUGGGUUGUAAACUGCUUUUAUACGGGAAGAACCGCACCUACGUGUAGGUGUUUGACGGUACCGUAAGAAUAAGGAUCGGCUAACUCCGU